GGGGGGGGGUUGUGAAAAUGUUGUGGUGAAUACGGAUGAAUAAAAUCAAAACACUGACACAAACAGAAAUGCAAACACAUAUCUAAAAACGGUUUCCAAGACAGACUGAAAAUGGUUGGUCAUUAACUUAAUUACAAUGCUUCCUAUCACAGGUCAACAAAAUAAAGCAGUGACUCUAACCUCUAAUCUAACACAGUUAACCAACUAAGCGAAGGCUAAUCAUGUUUUCAUAAAGGCGAACUAAGCGAACGCAAUGUUAACAUCAAAUCCAAUUUACACCAUGUAGUUUCAUCAA
RNAcentral lists this long non-coding RNA (295 nucleotides) under Vigna radiata. RNAcentral describes it as "long non-coding RNA (VRAD_LNC004890)". The record is from RNAcentral. Lineage: Eukaryota; Viridiplantae; Streptophyta; Magnoliopsida; Fabales; Fabaceae.